This 253-nucleotide ribosomal RNA is filed under the name uncultured bacterium. RNAcentral's name for it is "partial 16S ribosomal RNA". It matches the Rfam family "Bacterial small subunit ribosomal RNA", at positions 524 to 776 of the family's 1533-position model. The record is from RNAcentral.
UACGUAGGGGGCAAGCGUUGUCCGGAAUUAUUGGGCGUAAAGCGCGUGUAGGCGGUUCGGUAAGUCUGCUGUGAAAGUCCAGGGCUCAACCCUGGGAUGCCGGUGGAUACUGUCGGACUAGAGUACGGAAGAGGCGAGUGGAAUUCCCGGUGUAGCGGUGAAAUGCGCAGAUAUCGGGAGGAACACCAGUGGCGAAGGCGACUACCUGGCCUGUUCUUGACGCUGAGGCGCGAAAGCUAGGGGAGCAAACGGG